RNAcentral lists this microRNA precursor (75 nucleotides) under Myotis lucifugus (little brown bat). RNAcentral's name for it is "mir-9193 microRNA precursor family". It matches the Rfam family "mir-9193 microRNA precursor family". The record is from Rfam by way of RNAcentral. Lineage: Eukaryota; Metazoa; Chordata; Mammalia; Chiroptera; Vespertilionidae.
CUCGGGGUUGGGGGUGUUCCUCAGCCUGGAUUGCGAGAGAGCACAGGCCAGGCUGAGGGACCCCACUGGUGUGUG